This is a non-coding RNA of Phascolarctos cinereus (koala), 317 nucleotides long. Lineage: Eukaryota; Metazoa; Chordata; Mammalia; Diprotodontia; Phascolarctidae. The record is from RefSeq and is a predicted model, not a curated record.
AGGGUGGAGGACGAAGAGAGAGAGAGAGAGCUCCAUCUUGAAACGUCUGAAGUAAAGUGCUCCCAUGCCUCAGCCAUCCCUCAAAUGGCAGGCAGCAUGAUGCAGGGUAGAGGAUGCUCCAUUUGGGAUCAAAGGACUUGAGUUCAACUUGUUUCUGCCACUAUCUGUCAACCUUGGGAUCCCAAAAAUACAUCCUCUGACUUCUAAUCUAAGCAAAACGGUGUUAUUUGGACAAGAAUGCGGCAGCAGUUGAAGGCGGUCUCGAGGGCCUGGGGCUUUAUUGAAGAAAUCUGAAGGACCAGUUGUUAACACGUUGA